This 2837-nucleotide ribosomal RNA is filed under the name Ligilactobacillus ruminis DSM 20403 = NBRC 102161. RNAcentral describes it as "bacterial LSU rRNA". It matches the Rfam family "Bacterial large subunit ribosomal RNA". The record is from RNAcentral. Lineage: Bacteria; Bacillati; Bacillota; Bacilli; Lactobacillales; Lactobacillaceae.
UUUGCCUGUUAUCGCUCAAUGAAUUCAUAGUUGAGCUGAAGGUAGACGCGGGGAACUGAAACAUCUAAGUACCCGCAGGAAGAGAAAGAAAAUUCGAUUCCCUAAGUAGCGGCGAGCGAACGGGGAACAGCCCAAACCAGAGAGCUUGCUCUCUGGGGUUGUAGGACUGGACAUCUGAGUUACCAAGAAAUAACGUAGUCGAAUGAUAUGGGAAGAUCAGCCAGAGAAGGUAACAGCCCUGUAAACGAAACGUUGUUUCCUCAGUCCAGGAUCCUGAGUACGGCGGAACACGUGAAACUCCGUCGGAAUCCGGGAGGACCAUCUCCCAAGGCUAAAUACUCCCUAGUGACCGAUAGUGAACCAGUACCGUGAGGGAAAGGUGAAAAGCACCCCGGGAGGGGAGUGAAAGAGUACCUGAAACCAUGUGCCUACAAGUAGUCAGAGCCCGUUAACGGGUGAUGGCGUGCCUUUUGUAGAAUGAACCGGCGAGUUAUGCUAACGUGCGAGGUUAAGGCGGAAAGGCCGGAGCCGUAGCGAAAGCGAGUCUGAACAGGGCGAACGAGUACGUUGGUGUAAACCCGAAACCAGGUGACCUACCCAUGUCCAGGUUGAAGGUGCGGUAAAACGCACUGGAGGACCGAACCCGUGUAUGUUGAAAAAUGCUGGGAUGAGGUGUGGGUAGCGGUGAAAUUCCAAUCGAACUUGGAGAUAGCUGGUUCUCUCCGAAAUAGCUUUAGGGCUAGCCUCGGAGUUGAGAAUCGUGGAGGUAGAGCACUGUUUGGACUAGGGGCCCGUCUUGGGUUACUGAAUUCAGAUAAACUCCGAAUGCCACUGAUUUAUAUCCGGGAGUCAGACUGCGAGUGAUAAGAUCCGUAGUCGAAAGGGAAACAGCCCAGACCACCGAUUAAGGUCCCUAAAUAUGUGUUAAGUGGAAAAGGAUGUGGAAUUGCACAGACAACUAGGAUGUUGGCUCAGAAGCAGCCACCAUUUAAAGAGUGCGUAAUAGCUCACUAGUCGAGUGAUCCUGCGCCGAAAAUGUAACGGGGCUAAACACAUUACCGAAAUCGUGGAUGCAGCUUUGCUGCAUGGUAGGAGAGCGUUCUAAGGGCGGUGAAGCCGGACCGUAAGGACCGGUGGAGCGCUUAGAAGUGAGAAUGCCGGUAUGAGUAGCGAAAGACAGGUGAGAAUCCUGUCCACCGAAUGACUAAGGUUUCCUGGGGAAGGCUCGUCCUCCCAGGGUUAGUCGGGACCUAAGCUGAGGCCGAGAGGCGUAGGCGAUGGACAACGGGUUGAUAUUCCCGUACCGGUCUGAUUUGUUUGAGCAACGGAGGGACGCAGGAGGCUAACGAUGCGCACUAUCGGAUGUGCGUCCAAGCAGCAAGUCUGUCGGCGAGUCAAAUGCUUGCCGGCUCAAGGACAAGCUGUGACGGGUAUGAACGAUUCAUCGUUCUAAGUGAGCGACGUCACACUGCCAANUAAGCUGUGAUGGGGAUGAACGAUUUAUCGUUCUAAGUGAGCGACGUCACACUGCCAAGAAAAGCUUCUAGUUAGAAUCAGACCGCCCGUACCGCAAACCGACACAGGUAGUCGGGUCGAGAAGACCAAGGUGAGCGAGAGAACUCUCGUUAAGGAACUCGGCAAAAUGACCCCGUAACUUCGGGAGAAGGGGUGCUGAUCGCAAGAUCAGCCGCAGUGAAUAGGCCCAGGCGACUGUUUAUCAAAAACACAGGUUUCUGCAAAAUCGUAAGAUGAAGUAUAGGGGCUGACGCCUGCCCGGUGCUGGAAGGUUAAGAGGAUGGGUUAGCGCAAGCGAAGCUCAGAAUUGAAGCCCCAGUAAACGGCGGCCGUAACUAUAACGGUCCUAAGGUAGCGAAAUUCCUUGUCGGGUAAGUUCCGACCCGCACGAAAGGCGUAACGAUCUGGGCACUGUCUCAACGAGAGACUCGGUGAAAUUAUAAUACCCGUGAAGAUGCGGGUUACCCGCGACAGGACGGAAAGACCCCAUGGAGCUUUACUGUAGCUUGAUAUUGGGUGUUUGUACAACUUGUACAGGAUAGGUAGGAGCCGUAGAAGUCGGGACGCUAGUUUCGACGGAGGCAUCGGUGGGAUACUACCCUCGUUGUAUGAACACUCUAACCCACGCCGGCAAUCACGGCGGGAGACAGUGUCAGGUGGGCAGUUUGACUGGGGCGGUCGCCUCCUAAAAGGUAACGGAGGCGCCCAAAGGUUCCCUCAGAAUGGUUGGAAAUCAUUCGCAGAGUGUAAAGGCAUAAGGGAGCUUGACUGCGAGACCUACAAGUCGAGCAGGGACGAAAGUCGGGCUUAGUGAUCCGGUGGUUCCGCAUGGAAGGGCCAUCGCUCAACGGAUAAAAGCUACCCUGGGGAUAACAGGCUUAUCUCCCCCAAGAGUCCACAUCGACGGGGAGGUUUGGCACCUCGAUGUCGGCUCAUCGCAUCCUGGGGCUGUAGUCGGUCCCAAGGGUUGGGCUGUUCGCCCAUUAAAGCGGUACGCGAGCUGGGUUCAGAACGUCGUGAGACAGUUCGGUCCCUAUCCGUCGCGGGCGCAGGAAAUUUGAGAGGAUCUGUCCUUAGUACGAGAGGACCGGGAUGGACAUACCGCUGGUGUACCAGUUGUUCUGCCAAGGGCAUCGCUGGGUAGCUAUGUAUGGAUGAGAUAAACGCUGAAAGCAUCUAAGUGCGAAACUCACCUCGAGAUAAGAUUUCCCACUCCUUUAUGGAGUUAAGACCCCUGAGAGAUGAUCAGGUAGAUAGGAUGGAAGUGGAAGUGCGGCGACGCAUGGAGCGGACCAUUACUAAUCGGUCGAGGACUUAACCAA